GGGAGGUGCAAGCUUCCCACCAUCAUCCCACAGGAGUGCCACUGAACAUGCACCUGGUUUUGAAAUAGCUUCCUCUGGGGCAGCCCUGGUGGCCUCCAGCCCCUGCCAUCAUCUUGGAUCCAGCCGCAAGAGCUGUGGCAUUGAGGGAUCAAUGGUGGUAUACACCUACCCCACACUCCUGGGGGCCCAAGAACACAGUAAAUGUCAACUUCUCAUCUUCUCUAAAUAAACAAAGCUCAGCACAGGCACAGUGAUGUCUCCAGGUGGAGACUUUCAGAAGGUGUGGAUCAAAUUCUCCAACCAAAUUAGAGGGACAGGUGAUGGACAGCUCCCUACUAACCCUUUGCUUUUGCUCUUUUACAGCUUUUCUGACUCUUCAGUGAUGUAUUUCGCCAUGGAGAUAUGUUUUCAAUAACCUUGCAUGUUCGGAGAUGAUCCCGAAUCACCCCAUCCUUACAGUACUGUCCAGGAUGGCAGGGCCUGGAAUCAGUCAGCAAAGAGAGGUCACGAGGGAGCAGGGGAGGAGGAGAGGCUGAUAGAGAAGGCAGCUAAGGCUGCAGACAGCCUCACUCCUUCCUCGGGGGUGGAAAUUGCAAACAUGUGCCUUCCUGCAUAGCUCUGUCUAUGGCUGAUACUUGCUUUGAUGGGAAUAUCAAGGCCUCAGGAGUUUGAGGAUUGAAAGUCUUCAUGUAGGAUCAGAAUGGCCUCGCCAGGAAAAGAAGGCUUGCUUAGCUUUAAGCUGCUUUGGGUGCUGGGGCGACGGGGUAGGGGGAGCACCCCAUGCUUUCUGUCUUCUGUCCCCAACAGCCAUAGAGAAACUGUAUAUGUUUUCGGCCUGAGAGCUACUCAGAAUUCUACGAGGGUGCAAGUAGAGACGCCUGUGGUUUCCUUGCACACUUGCUAAUACCCUUAUCCUUGCAAGCACACCACAGUGAGAGAGUGGUCAGGAGAGGACAAAUAGGACAAGAGUGGAAGCCCCUUCCUCUGUUCAUAGUUAGAUGACACACUCCUGGGGAGCUGGGUUUGUCUGUCUGGGACAUGGCAGUGCCAGUUCUUGGGUAGCUCCCACAUAUUCCCUUGCAGGGAAGAUGUGAAUGCUGUGUUUACAGAGGAGGGCAUGGUCUUCCACACAUCAUGUCUAUGGGUUGACCCACCUGUGAUCAUCUCUGGGAGAAGUCUAUCUGCUUCUGGCCACUUCAUUCCCACCCAGUCCCAUCAGAGUGCAGCAGUGUGUCUGCAUACAUGUUUCUUACAAUUCCUGUACCAAGGGUUGGUGAUAAUGCAGCCAGCCUGGGCUGUAGAUGACUUGCUGCUGUAUCGUAUAAGAAAACCCCUGGUCCCUGAAAUGGACAGAGUGAAGGCCGGACUGUUGAGCAGAAGGCCCCAACACACUCCAUAGUUUCCAUCAUCACCUACACUUUGGGCAGAAUCAUUAUUCCAGACUACUUUUUUUUUUUUUUUUUUUUGAGACAGAGUCUCGCUCUUGUCAUCCAGGCUGGAGUGCAAUGGUGUGAUCUCGGAUCAUUGCAACCUCAACCUCCCAGGUUCAAGCAAUUCUGCUGCCUCAGCCUCCCAAGUAACUGGGAUUACAGGCCUGCACUACCAUGCCUGGCUAAUUUUGUAUUUUUAGUAGAGACGGGGUUUCACUCUGUUGGUCAGGCUGAUCUCUAAGUCCUGACCUAAAGCGAUCCACCCACCUUGGCCUCCCAAAGUGCUGAGAUUAUAGGUGUGAGCCACUGCACCUGGCCCAGGCUACAUUUUUAAAAAUACCCUUAACCCUCCUCCAGUUCCUCAUGGCAACCAGAGUAGAAUCAAGAGGAUUACCAAACAGAGCUUCAUUUGGAUACCUCAUCUAGUAGACAGAAAAUUAUUUCUCAUUGGCAUCACUGCUUUUCUUAAAUAAACUCAACCUCAGAUUAUUCUUUUUGUUUUCUCAAUCGGUGGUUUAGGGCAGUGAGAUAUGUUUUGUGACAUCUUUUUUUUUUUUUUUUUGAGAUCGACUCUCACACUGUUGCCCAGGCUGGAGUGCAGUGGCACGAUACUGGCUCACUGCAACCUCUGUCUCCUGGGUUAAAGUGAUUCUCCUGCCUCAGCCUCCUGAGUAGCUCAGAUUACAGGUGCCUGCCACCAUGCCUAGCUAUUUUUUUUUUUUUAAGUAGAGAUGGGGUUUUACCAUAUUGGUCAGGCUAUUCUCGAACUCCUGACCUCAUGAUCAGCCUGCCUCGGCCUCCCAAACUGCUGGGAUUACAGGCGUGUGCCACUGUGCCUGGCCUGUGAUGUCUUUUUGAUUUGUUCACUAUUGCUCUACUGAGGUUAUGUGGUCACUUUGUCUUUUGGUUUGGUGAAUCCCCUGUUGGGUGCUGGCAGCACUGUCCCCUAUACGGAAGGUCUGUGAUGAGCCUGAGGCCUCGUGCCUUCACCUGUCUGUGCCUAUCCAAUGCUAUUCUCUUUCUUGGGCACAGUCUCCUAGGCUGCUGCUAUUCCUCUUGUAAAGCAGGCACAGUAUUAUGUGGCUUGUGUCUUCUCCAAUUCAGUGGCCUCUCCACAGAUUAUCUGUGGCCUCUGGGGAAAGGUAUUGGGGUCCCAGCACUCUGUUAUGGGAUGGCGGCUGAGGCCUGGCUGCAGGUCUGCCUGUAGGGUCCCCAGUGGUGAGCCCAGUGAGACACCCAGCAGAUGGCCCUGCCUCCCACUCUCCAGCGCUCCCCUCUGCUUACUUUGUCGGCAGCGGUGAGGCGGGUCCACGGCUUAUCUGCCCUGCGGUCAUAGUCCUGAGCGUCAGCCACCUCCACAUAGUCACUGAAGCGGAUAAGGAUCUUCCUUUCCCGAAGCUCUUCCACCGUGGGCCUUUGACUGAGCUGCAGGGAGGGAAGAGAGAUGGACCCAGUCAGCCAGAGGGGUCGACCAUGGCACUUGGUCUUGUCUGUGAACUUGCAGGUGUGGAAAAUACGGCAAGGCAAUGGAUGGGACACACAGUGAGUGAGGGGCGGGGGCGGGUGGUGGGUGGGAGGGACCCAAGUCUCCUGACUCUUGGAACUGGGACCUUCCUAGAUCCUAAGAGAGAGCUUUAUUAUCCCUUACAUCCCCUCUAGGCCAAACUCUAACUUUUUUAAAACUUAAACAAAACCUUUUAUUAUGUAAACUUUCAAUAGAAGGAAGGAGGCUGAUAUAAUGAAUUUGGUGCAUUAUCACCACCUUCACCAAUUGUCAACUCUUGACUACAUCCACAUGUGGAUUUCUUUGAAACAAGUCACAGGCAUCAAUAUCAUUUUAUCUGUGUAUAUUUCAGUAUAGAAUAUCUAAAGAUUAGGACUUUAAAACAUAUUCACAAUACUGUUUAUACACCUAUAAAAAUCGAUAAUAAACAGUCUUUGUCUUCCUAACACUGCUGAGUCCUAGUCUUUACCAUAAGCUUGUCUUUCUGUUUGGCUGUGGGCACCUGUUGUGGAUUUUUUCUUAUCUAUCCUACUCCCACCAGGUGACAGGGACAUUCUACAGCGAUUCUGUCUUAUUUUGGAUUUGUGAGUCCACAUCUGUGUGUCACACUGAGUGCUUUCUGCAAGAUGAAUUUGCACUUGUGUGUGUUUUAGAUACAAAAAAGUGUACAUGCAAAUGGUAUGCAAACUCGGGGGUAUGCAGGGAUGGGAAUCUGCCGGUUGAAGAGGUCAGCUCAAACAUUACUGACAGCCCUCUGCAAGAAGUUCAAGGGGAAGGUCAGUCAACAAAGGUGGAGCUGAGUAAGUACAGAAAAAGGCACAUUUAUGGACCAGCCCUUGGGAUGGUCCAUGGUGAAGGGCUGCAGGAAUGAGGGAUGAAACAAGUAAAAGCAAGAUGGAUAAUGUAUUUUGCCAUGUCCCGAUAUUAUCCAUGAACACCCUUCCAAUACUUCAGUAACGUAAGGCUGAUAUUUCUAUUAUCUCUUCCUGUCACCAGGGUUAUUUCUCCUGGAGCAAUACAGUUGCUUCCUUUAGGAUGCUGCCAAUUGAUGUUCCACCAAUGUUAUUUAAAAGCCAUUUUCCCUCCAAGCCCUAGGCUAUGUGUAAUUCUAUUACUAGAAGAUAUGAUCUUAUAGAAUCUUGCAACUCAGGCCCACAAAACAAACACAAUGGAGUCCAAACCACCCUGGCGGUUCUGACUCUGCAUCAGGCAGCUGCCAGACACCUUGGCUGAUGUGAGAAUGUUCCAACUUGCUCCCAUGCUGGCAGACCACAAUUAGAAGAUGGCUGGCAGAUACCAGAUAAGAGUGGCAGAUGCUAUCACACCCUGAACAGGGCCAAGGCAGGCCUGUAGCUCCCUCUUGGCCAAGGGCAGGAAGCUCUGGAGAUCAGGGUUUCAGCAGGCUCUGGCUACCCCUUGCCUAAACUGCAUGUAGCCCUCCCUUGGCUUUCUUGGGCAGGACAACAUUCUGGCACCAGUGUGGGCCUGUUGCGGGAACCCACAGGCUUCCCAGGCUGUUAUGGCUGUGGUCACCGUAAACAAAAAUAGCGGUCAUCCUGACUCCAAAAUGUGUUCUCUGCAAUGUGAGUGCAGGGAGAUUUUGUGCUAUAAUUAAAAUACAUAAAAACAUGCAACGUUUGCCAUAUUUACUCUGGAUAAACAGACUCCUACUCAGGAUCCUGUCUGUGCUCCUCAGGACUUGUCGAGUUUACCCCAAGAGGCUGGACAAGGUAUUAUUUUCUUUCAUUUUUCUUUUUUUUUUUAGAUGGAGUCUCACUCUGCUGCCCAGGCUGGAGUUCACUGAUGCAAUGAUCUUGGCUCACUGCAACUUCCACCUCUUGGGUUCAAGUAAUUCUCCUGCCUCAGCCUCCUGAGUAGCUGGGAUUACAGGUGUGCACCACCUUGCCCAGCUAAAUUUUGUAUUUUUAGUAGAGGUGGAGUUUCGCCAUAUCGCCCAGGCUGGUCUUGAACUCCUGAUCUAAAGUGAUCCACCAUUCCUGGCCUCCCAAAGUGCUGGGAUUACAGGCAAAAGCCACCAUGCCCAGCCCAAGGUGUUAUUUUCUAAGUGCCCCAUGAUGUAAGAAAAGUUGUUAAGCCCUGAUUUUCAAAUUUCUCUUCCUGGAAAUUGUGACCCGGAUUUUACUAAUAUAGUAUCUAUGGCAGAGUCUAGAUGAACUGCAAAGCAAGCAUAAACACUGCAGGUCAGUGAUGGCUUCUUGUGUCUGAACAUUGUGGGGCCUUAGAUACCGCCUUUCCAAUCGAAGACCACACUGCACCCAAGUGCUCAGAGGGAAUGAGUGAGGAUGCAGCUGGCUGCUGCCCCUGACAGUUGCAGUUAGUGCACAAAUCCCAGCACUAACUAACGGCCACCAGGAUGCUCCUCUGUGUGCGUGGGCUCAUGCCGCUGACCACAAAGGGCUCAGAAGAUGCACCUUUGGCCGCUGCUGGCUGUAGCCCUUGGGGCAUCUGGCACCUGAGGCCUUUCCUUGAAUGCUGCAAAAAUAGUCUUUGCAGGCAAAGUCAGGUUUUCUGGGAAUAAUGGGCUGGUAGAAGGAGUAGGGGGCAGUGAGUGGUAGCAUUUGUAUUGUGUAUUGCAGCAAUAAUAUGUGCAACCAAUUUAAACAAAAGGAAAAAAAAGUAACUUAAGACCCAAAUUCUAUUUUCUUUACUCUGUCACCCACGCUGGAGUGCAGUGACACAAUCGCAGCUAACUGCAACCUCCACCUCCCGGGUUCAAGUGAUUCUCCUGUCUCAGCCUCCUGAGUAGCUGGGACUACAGGCAUGCACCACCAUGCCCAGCUAAUUUUUGUGUUUUUUAGUAGAGAUGGGUUUUCACCAUAUUGGAGAGGCUAGUCUCAAAUUCCUGACUUUAUGAUUUGCCUACCUCAGCCUCCCAAAGUGGUGGGAUUACAGGAGAGAGCCACUGUGCCUAGCCCCAGAUUCUACUUUGAAUACAACUUAAACCCAAAUGUAUUUUUUUCCUUUCCUCCUCCCUCCCAGGCACGUAUCCAUCCAUUCAUCCACUUAGCCAGCUAGCAUCUUUUUUUUUUUUUUGAAGGGGAAGGCAGGCAGGCAUGUUGAUUUUUGUUUGUUUUUGAGACAGAGUCUCACUCUGUUGUCUAGGCUGGCGUGCAGUGGUGCAAACUUGGCUCCCUGCAACCUCCGCCUCCCAGGAUCAAGUGAUUCUCCUGCCUCAGCUUCCCGAGUAGCUGGGAUUGCAGGCAUCCACCACCACACCUAGCUAGUUUUUUAUACAGGUGGUGUUUAAGCCUGUUGGCCAGGCUGGUCUCAAGCUCUUGACCUCGUGAUCCACUUGCCUCGGCCUCCCAAAGUCCUGGGAUUACAGGUAUGAGCCACCGUGCCUGGCCACAGGCAUGUUUUUUAAAAGGCAAAACAUGUACUUUUUAUAUUAGUCCCAAUUUGGUUGAAGAAAAUGACUGGUCUGUUGCUAUCAGCCUCAGUUACCAUGUUCAUUUUUAAUUUUUCUUACUAGUGCAUUACAAUGAAAUAGAACUUUAUUGAAGAAAUCCUUGGGCUGAGGAUAAGUCACUGAAAAGGAGCCACCACCACUGGUGUCUGGUCUCAGUGUAAUAAGGGCCCAAGAGGAAAAGAACCUGCACAGGGCCAGCAAGUGAUGAUGUAGGUUCCCUACCUGCUGGCAGGCAUCACAUCUCUGCCCGAAAAAGCAGAUGCAGAAGCUGCCCCUCUGUCCUUCCAGCCUCUCUCUUAGAAGCAGUUAUCCCCUUCUUUCAGGCUCAUUAUUUCUAAUUCCCCCAGCCAGUCCCAGGGGAAGGCAAAUGAUAAAAUUCCAAGGCCAUUUCCCACGGGGAAGAAAGGAGAGGUGAGCAGGAGAAAGAGGCAAUUAUGAUUGUGGAGACCUGCAAAAAUUACGAACUAUUUGGGGUCCCCAUCCCUAGUGUUACCCACCCUAGGGAGAUGGGCAUGGAAAGGAAGACUCUCCUUGCCUAUUGCCACAUCAUGCAAUUAGUCAGGUUCUCCAUAAAAUCAUAUCAACUUUGUUAAGAGACAGGAAUUAAAUAAAUGUCUAAGUAUUUCUCUGUGACCAUCUUUUAGUAAGCAACCUUAAAAUUUGGGGAAUUUUGGGGGUCCAGCCACCAAUCCUGAAAAAUUUGAUGAAAAUCUGAUUUAAACAAUUUUUUUCCCUAAGUGUCUAGAUCUUUCUGUAUCAGAAAUGAAAGUUUAUCACAGUGUCUUCUUCAAAUCCUUGUCAUUUCAAGGACACCAUGAAAAAAAGCUAAUGCAUCUCCCCUGCUCUUCUCACUACUUAAUCUCAGUAAAAACUGCCCCCUGAGUCCAAAGAGUGGGUGGGCUUAAGGAUGUAAAGGGUCCAGCCUUCACAGGUGGGACAGCAACUGGUUGGUGAGGUCACUUAGCUUUCGCUCUAGUCUCCACCAGGCUGACGCCAGCCAGUCCUCUGGCCAUUCAGGUGCUUGUUUAUCCUGCUCUUGUUAAUUGGGUUGGCAUUUGGCUUGUCACCAGGUAUUUGGGAUGCUCUCAGGGAGAGAAAGUGUUGAGAAAUAUAAACCAUCACCUUAAUAAUUGGUAUGAUAUUUCAGGAUCUCUGAAUUUCUUCCUUUGUGUGAUAUUUCUGGGGAGAAGAAUCCACUAAUAAACCCUUUUAAGAUUAAUGUUAACGGGCCUCUUGACUGUCGCUAAGAUAUGAGUAUCUUUCUCUCAAGAUGGUCACUGUAGGAGGCUGAUUAAAAACACUCUGACUUCAUCAGACAGAAGAGAGUAUUACAUCUUGCAUGUCAUCAGUUAAUUAAACUUUUCAACAUCAUCCAGGAAUAGCCUUCACCAUGAGUUUAUUAUGAAAGAGGACACUUGCGUGGAACGAAUGCAUGAGGAGCUCCAGCGCACUGCCAAACCAUCUAUUUUGGGGGUUAAGAAUAUAUUAAAAUUCCAAUGUUAUGACUUUUAUCUAUGCCCUUCUCAAAUGUCUUCUUUAAAUUUUGUCAGUUCUUUCACAAUUUAGCCUAAUAAAGUCGCAUAGUUCUUAAUUCCUAGGGAAAGAAUAGUAUCUUUCCCUAGGAAUUGGGAAAUAGGGUUGGAAAAAAAAAAAGUCCAUACUUUCCCGGGGUCUUAGCAAAUAGUUGUGUAAUAUUUGAACUAGUAAUUUUUUUAGGGGGGAGGGGAGACAUUCUUGCUCUGUCGCCCAGGCUGGAGUGCAGUGGUGCGAUCUCAGCUAACUGCUGGACUCAAGCAAUUCUCUCGCCUCAGACUAACAUGUACCUGGGCCUACAGGUGCACAUCACCAUGCCCAGCUAGUUUUUGUACAUUUAUUUUAGCAGAGACAGCAUUUUACCAUGUUGCCCAGGCUGGUCUUGAACUCCUGGCUUCAAGCUAUCCACCCACCUUGGCUUCCCAAAGUACUGGGUUUAUAGGCAUGAACCAUUGCACCUGGCCUUUGAACUACUGAUUCUGAUUAUGAAUUUCCCAUUACUUAAUGGCAUUAUAGUGAAUUUUUUAAAACAAAAUAUUUAGUAUAAUCAAAAAUGUAACACAAUAGCCAUCAAGUUGUUUGGGAGUAGGUGGGUGCCACAAAAUCAAACAACAUUGAAUGCCACCAACCAAAAGGACCGGGUGGAGGGUCAUGAAGCUGAGUGGAGAGGUCUUAGAGGUAAGAGAGUGGUGCCCUCUGACCCAGGAGGAGAGGAACCAGGCAGCGAGGCCAGCAGAGGGCAGAGAUGUGGUGGGCAGCCCACCCUCUCCUGUCCCAGCUCUUGGCUUGGAGAACCAGCUCACCUUUCGGGUUAGCCUCCUCUUGAUCUCUCUCUUCUCCUCCUGUUCCUCUUGUUCAUUCCGAGCUGAAAGAAAUAUUUAAGAUGUUUUUUAUUUUAGUAAACAGUGCUGUGUGUACGGGGACAUCCUUUGGACCUUGGCAGGCUCUAGGCUAAGCAUCUCAGUUUGAAAAAGGGAAGAGGGCGCUCCUGUCCCCUCCCCAAGCUGCCCUUCUCUUUAUGGGGACAGUUUUCCAAACUACCUGCAUUGUUUCAAAUUGCUCCUGAGCAGGUUGACUUUGUCAUUUUGUUUUCUUUACAUCACAUGGGGUUUCAGGUCUCCAGGCAGAGAUGCUGGGUUGAGAAAUGUGGCUACAAGGGAGGAAGGUAGGUUUUUAUUUUUUAUUUUUAGACAAGGUCUCGUUCUCCUAAGCUAAAGUACAGUGGUGCAAUCGUAGCUCACUGUAGCCUCAAACGCCUGGGCUCCAGUGAUUUCCCUACCUCAGCCUCCCAACUAGCUAGGACUAUACAUGCACACCACCAUGCCUGGCUAAUUUUUAAAAUUUUAUGUUGAGAUGAGGGGGGGUCUCCUUAUGUUGUUUAGGGUGGUCUUGAACUCCUGGCAUCAAGCAAUCCUCCUGCCUUGGCCUCUCAAAGUGCUGGGAUUACAGGUGCGAGCCACUGCACAGCCCAAGGAGGUGGGUGGGAAUGUUGACACAAGGACACAUGGGCAUUUGGGGAGAUGUGAGGCUCCUUUCUUUGGAUAAGACUAGGGCUCACUCAUUCUCUGUUGAGCUCUCAGACACUGAAGGGGGCUCAUUUUGAUGUGGUCCUUGUGUCUGGUGCCCUGUGGGGGUAGAGAGAACAGACCAGCCUCAGCCUGAUGCAGGAACAAGACAAGGCAGGAGGAUUUUCAAAAUGCUCGCCUUUCACAAGCCGUGAUUCCAUCAAUUCUUUGAAUCUUCUGAGAAGUCCACAAAGCACAGGUGAGGCCAUAGUGCUUUGAGCACAGGGAUACAAUUGCCUGCAUUUAGACUCUUUAGGAGUGGCUCAGAAGAGUAGACUGCAGAGCCUAUAAGCUCUUGACUUAAUAUAUGGGUGACUUACUCAUCAGAUUUUUAAAGAGCUGUAGAUAAGAGAGUAUGGGGAAGGGGGCAGAUAAUUGAAGGGCAGAGAAUCUGGGCUUAUUUCUCCUUUUAAGCUAACUGGAUGACCUGGGGUAGACCGUUUCCCUUCUGGACCUUGGAAGAAUUCCUUGAUAUCUAUGAAAGCACAGAUAUCAGCAUAGCAUUGUUGGACUUGAAAAAGCUAUAGAAGUCAGCUUGUAUCGAAGGCCUGUGAUUCUCAGCCAUUAAAUUUCAAAUGGCGUUAGUAAAAGGAAAGGUUGAUUUCGGCAUGGGUGCGUCACAACUGCCUGGGACAGGUGUUCGCUCAUUCUGAAAAUCACAGUUGUUACAUUGUAUUUCGGUAACUUCAUUAGUUUGUUGUAUUGGUGCACACAUGAAAUUCAGGUAUGGUUGCUGACUGUCUCAGUGUGGGACAGGUCUUUAAAGAAGGAAACUGCUGUGCCUAGAAAGGGGUGGGGACCAUCUGAUAACUGAGUCACCUUCAUGCUAAAGGUGACUAUACCUCCCACUAGCACAAGUGGUGUGAGUUCAGAGCAGAACUCAGACUCCUGAGGGCCACCCCUCUGGACAUAAUUUGCCCCCCGACUACCUGUGGGCAGCAGGCUCUGCAGAAAAGCAGCACAAGAAACAGCCACAUCUUGCUGUCGGCUGAGGUCACCAGAGGUCCCUGCUCCCGCCUACCCUACAGUGCCUGAAACCUUCACCAUGAGCGAGCUUUCCUUUGGAUUUAGAGAUCCUAUCUCCCUCCUGGAGUUGUUUUUCUUUUAAAUGCAAAUUUCUCUUGAAUAAAAGCCCAUUAAACUAGUCAGCCAUUAAUAGCUCAGUAUUAAUUAAUCUAGCAGAGACAAACUGGGGAGCCCCCACACAGUGACGUUUGUACAAAUGCAAAUUUCAGUGGGAUAAAACCUAUGAAACUAGUCAGCCAUUAAUAUCUUAGUAUGAAUUAAUCUAGCAGAGAUAAAUGGGGAGGCAGACAGCAAGAAUAGCAGAGAUAAAUGGGGAGGCAGACAGCAAGAACCAGAAGGAGGGAGCUCCCAUUCAGAGACGUCUCAGGUGGGAGGACAAAUGCAAAGAAAGGUGGUCUGGAUGCUGGGUCGCCGGGAGCAGCUACAGGGCCCAUGGUGAAAAUUUCAAAGGCACAAAAUACUAGGGCCAUGAAGGGGCCUAGUGACCACCUAGUCUACCACUCCUGGUUUGUAACUGAGGAUCUGAAGGCUCAGGGGUGUUAAGAGGCUAGUCACACCCUACCUGGCUCAGUGGUUACACUGAUAGGCUUUUUCCUGUGGUCAUGUUUUGCAUGGGGCUGGCUCUCCUCCUCAUUACUAGCCUCAGACUUCUGACCCUACGGGAGCCAUGAAGGCAGGCAUUCUGUGACGCAGCUGACAGAGCCUGGAGCCUUCAUCUCCUGUGUGUGCUUCUUAGGUUACUCUGAGGGGUGGGGCCACAAGCUACCACCUACAGAAUCGAUACCUUUAGCUCAAAGCUAUUGACAAACUCAGGUUCGUGAACUCUCAGGCAGAAGGUACCAAGACAACCCCAUUAGGGAACUGGGAAGACAGGCCAGGAAUAGGCAAUUGGGAAGACAGGCCAGGAAAGGCCCACAGUAUCAUCAUUACAGCAGCCACCAUCAGAGGGUUCAUUAUGUGCUCAGAGGUGCACAGGGCCUCACUGGCAGCUGGACAGAACAAGGGCUGUUCCCAGGGCCAGGCAGGGUGGGGCUGGAAACCAACCCAAGGCUCUCCCAGCUCCAGGGCUGAGCCAUGACGUUUCCGUGCCCUGUUUCCCACCACUCAACACUGAGCAGUUCCUCAAUGACUGAAAAGCUCAGAAAAUCAGUUUUAGAACAAGCUGUUGGAGGAUGUUGUGUUAUACCAUUAGACAUUUCUUGUUUAACAAUUGCAAUAGAUUAAAUUAAAAAAAAUAGGAGAACACAGUUCCAGAAUACAGGGAAAAAUAAGAACUUAUGGGAAAACAAGUUGAUUUCUGGAAAGUUUCAAAACUAUGAAAUGAUCAACCUGUUUGAAUUGGUCAAGUAGUUCUUUAAUUUGCAACUAUGUGGCCAGGACAAGAGGGAUUAGGGAAGAGAAUAAAAGAGAACCAUGGGAACAAUCUUCCACAACUCCUUUUUAGUUCCCUGAAUCUAAGUUACCUGCUUAGAUGGCCGUAAAAACUGAAGCUCAACAGACUUGUGGUGUCCCAGGGAUCUGGGCAAGCCACAGGUGGGAACUGAUGCCUUUGAGAGAAUCCAGAACUCAGCUGGGGGAUUUUAGAUCUCUUUCCAGAAACCGAACUCCUGGUAUGAUAAGCACUAUUUUCUGAAACCUAAAUAAUCCCCCAGAGGCUUUUAGCUUCUUUGAGUUUAGGCCUCAGGUCAGAGGCCACAAAUACAGCAGGGGCACAAGUUCACCUGGCUGUUUAUCUUUCUCUCCAAAAAUGGAAAGUUUAUAAUGGCUCAGGUACCAGAUUGGGGCAUAAAAAAAGACAUCAUACAGCCCAGUUGCUUCUCUGACUUUGGAAAUCCUUUGUAAAGCUCUAAAUUCAUUAUAGAGAAUAUUAAGCUUGGAAACUUUUAAGGGGUACCCCUUGGGCAGAAAAAAGUAAACGCCCAUUCCUAGAGACCUAGGAAGUGCGUAGGGCGCACCUAGGACUGACAAAGGCCAAUCCCGAAAACAACUUCCACUGAGAGUUAAGGCCGUGGCCGUUGGCAUGGGGCGGGAGGCAGGAUGUUGAUAAAGGCAAACUUGACAUAAAUGGACAUGUGGGGGCGUUGGGGGUGGGAGUGGAUGCUGCAGGCAACAGGGCCCCCCCAUCAGAACAGAACCCAGCACCUUAUCCUUAGCAGACCACGAAAUGCCAACCAAGUCACAAGGCUACAGUGAGCAUGGUGGGACAGUGAAGUGAAGACUAUGUUAGUGUGGUUACAGUGGAAAUACCCUGGAAACUCACACUGCGGUUGCAUGUGACUGACUGGGUGGGGGAGUGGGAAGCGGUGUCUGCGUCUGUACAACAUAGCAUUUCUAGAAAACUCUGCAUAGUAUAUAUCUUUCUUUUCUGGAGAGAAAUUACUAGCGUGUUGUGGGGUAGGGGGAACAGGGUAAUGAAUUAAGUGAGAAAUAUUUGUUAACUAUCUUGAGACAAGUGUUGGUGAGAAUGGUAGCACUAACUGAAUAGAAUGGUUUGAUUUUUAAAUUAUUUCAUAUCUAACACUAAACUGAUGCAUACUGGUGUCCAUCAAAUGCUUGAUCUCUUUUAGUAUUUUUUUUUUUAGCACCAAGUGGAUCCUCUGUAUAUAUUCAAAUAUCUCUGUGUCCUAAACCAAACAAGGGGCUCAUUUAUUUGUUUCUGUCUGCAGCGUUGGUGAAAGGCACUUUUCCUUGAAUGGGUACAUCACACAGGCAUGCCUGGGACCAGCUGUGGGAAUCCUGAGAGACAGACAUGAAGCACUUCACCUGGAAAUGCUUUCUGAGUCUUGAAAUUUAAUGUUCAAUGGAAUGAGGAAUUUUUAUCAAGAGCAGCAGCUGCAAUGCAAGUCAUGCUUUCUAGGCUCGGUUCAAACGGCCAUUUCCCUUAUUUUAGGCGCCUGUAUCACAGUCUCCGUUUUAAAGCCAAUUCUGGUUUAAAGGUGACCCUACCCUUAAAAAUCAUUAAAUAAUAAGUGGUCUCACUCUAAUUUUUCAGCUUCUCUCUGACUCUACAACUCCCUAAAGGGAAGGUUCUGCCGGCGGUCUGUGAGCUUCUAAAGAACAAAGUGGAAUAAAAUUUGCCUUCUCUUUGGGGAGGUCGUCUUUGGUGUUCUAACAUGCACGGAUGAAGCCUCAAGCGUUAGAAAGGUUUUCAGUCGUUUCCGCACAGGCGCAAGUUAGAAACCUUGUGGCCUACCAUUAAAUAAUAACAAAAGCCACCACAAAACAUCAGCGAUUGCCAUGGGCUUAGUCACUUACGUUUCAAAAUGUUCCUCUGUUCCAGUUCCUCUGCAGUUGGCCUCUGGCUCAGCCGCCUACGGAAAAAAUCCAGGAAAAGUUUUUGGACCAUAUCAUAGCCUCCUUGGGUCAUUAAUCUCCUCAGCCCUUGCAGAUACAUGAAACAGUCAGUGGCUGGAGUUCUUGUUCCAUCCUGUGUUCUGAAAGACUGACUCUCCCCACCACCGCCUCCUCAGUUCCUCAAUUUCAAGCCCAGGAGAGACCCAGUGGGAACAUAAAGAGGCCUGUGGCCACAGGGACAUGUGAGAGAGUGUGUCUGUCUGCAAAGAACAAUAGCUGCUCUUCUUCUGGUCCUGCUCUUCUAUUCGGAAGCCUUAGAAGACGUGAGUGACAGAGGAACAGAAAUGACACUCCUGUGGCCAGGCAUGAAGUUUAGCCACUAUAAUUCCUGGACCCCAAGGGACUCUGCGUUUGAGACCCCUGGAUGAGAUCAUCAAGUGAUAAGAAUUCCAAUUUUUGUUUUCCUAAGUCUUUCAUCUGCCAAUCUACCCAACAUGAACUAGGGGCCACAUAGAGGGCCAGGCAUGUUCUUACAGGGCUCACAGACUAGAGGUGCACAUCUGUGAUUACAAUGUGCGUGGUAAAACUGGAUCAGCAGUUUGGAAUGUAAUAAAAUAUCCUCAAAACAAUAAGCAAGUUGGGCAUGACUUAGACUUUCACUGCCCAUGUAGAAGGGACUAUAUACAUUCUUGCACAUCUCAGUUGGAUAUCAAGAGCUGAGUCAAACAAAAACCAUUCAGCAGUGGCAUGGAAGUGGGGGUGGCUGGGCAUGAGGCAAAACUGUGAAGGAGAUAAAGUGUCUGUGGUUCUGCCUUUACUCUGCUCUGUGGAGUCUUCCCCUCUCGAGUUCUUAGAAUUAUGUCAUCACUCUUGCUCUAUCUCAUUCCUGUCAAGACUUGUUUUAGAAAUCGGUGCCAGAGACUCAGCUACAUUCAAAUGUAAACUCAUUCAUUCAUUUAGCAAGCUACUUAUUAGCGCCAGCUCUGUGUCAGGUUCUGUGUUAGGUACCAGGGUACAGUGAUGAGCAAAACCAGUCCUUGCCCUUCUGGAAUAGAGACGAUUGGAAGGGGAUGGGGCGGGGGGGGGGGGGGUCGCCAUUAAUCAGAGUCACAGAAAUAAGUGUAAAAUGUAGCUGGAGUAAGGGCCUGGAUCUGACCAAAUAGGCUUCCAGGAGGAAGUGACACUGUGCCCAGAGCUCAGGGAUGGAAGAAGGAUGCUCCCUCUGGGCAGAGAAUAAGGGGAGAAGGAUGAUGGGAAGGAGGGCAGGGGCCAGAUGCUGUGGGUAUGAUUUGAAUCUGUGUCCCCACCCAAAUCACAUGCAAACGGCAAUCCCCAGUGUUGCAGGUGGAGCCUGGUGGGAGGUGAUUGGAUCAUGGGGGUGGUUUCUCAUGAACAGUUGAGCACCAACCCCUUGGUGCUUUUCUAGUGAGCGUGAGUGCAUUUUCGUGAGAUCUGGUUGUUUAAAAGUGCGUAGCACACUUCCCCCUUGCUCCUGCUCCCAUGUGAGACCCCUUUGCUUCCCCUGUUUUCCACCAUGAUUAGAAGCUUCCUGAGGCCUCCUCAGAAGCAGAUGCCAGCGUCACGCUUCCUGUACAGCCUGCAGAACAGUGAGCCAAUUAAACCUCUUUUCUUUAUAAACUCCCCAGUCUCAGGUAUUGCUUCAUAGCAGUGCAGAAUGGCCUAAUACAGCUGCUUCCAGGAUUUUGAUCUUCUUUUUCUAAGAUCAGUGUGAAGCCACUGAAGAAUUUAAGUUUUAGGGAGUGAGAGGAGAGGUGUGAAUGAAACGAUCAGACUUACAAUGGAAAAAGAUCACGCUGGUUGUUAUAUGGAGAAGGGAUUGGGGAAGGCCAGAGGUAACCUGAGGAGAGGCUUCGGGAAGCUUGGCACAGCUAGUAAGAGACAAUGGAGGCUUGGGUGAGGCUGUGCGGUGAUGUGUAAGCUUUUAGAAAGUCAUGUAGACACGGCAUAUGAGUGGACAGGAAGAAGCAGGUGUACAGAAUAUCUCCUUAGGUUUUCUAACUCAUGCAACUAGAUGGAUGGGAAUGCUGUUCACUGAAGCAGGGGCAUUACAAGAGGACCAGCGUGUUUGUGAAGGAAGAGUGGAAGAAAACCAUGAAUUUGAGUUUGGAUCUGUUACUCUGUUGUCAGAAUGCUCCUGAGACACAUGAAUGAAGCUGUCAUAUAGAUAGCCGGGUACGUUUAGCUCAGUGGAGAGGAGAGGUCUAGGCCAUUGAGGGAGUCUGCAAUAGAAACAAUAUUUGAAGUCAUGAGUAUGGAGAGAGUAGAGAAUGGGAAGAGGAGAGGGCUUAGGAUGGAGCCCUGCAGAAUUCCAGUAUUGAAUGCAUGGACUAGAUGAUGACCCUGGUGUAGAUUCUGAGGAGGGGCAGUUCUUGGAGGUAGGAUAAGAACUAAAAUAUCCUAUCAUGGAAGCAAAGUAAUGGGAAACCUUGCUUAGUAACUAAUGCUAAGGCUUUCUGAAGUGGAGUCAAAGGUUGCAAGAGGAUCACACUCACACCUGCUGAAGGUCAAACCAGGGGAUGUUCCAACAGACUCAGUUAAACAACUGAAGUCAGCAUCUGCUGGCCUUCAACACCUCAGCCGAGAGUACUCUCAUUAACUAACCAAUCACAACAGGCUUGUGAUUUAGGAUUUCUGCCUGGCCAAUGAACUACUUCUGAAGAUCACUUAAAAGUGUUUUGUGACAAUCCUCCAUUUAAAGAAAAAUCUCUCCUGCAUCCUGUGUUAUGGGGCACUCUUCAGGGCUGCCCUGAUUUGGUGUACCCCAACUGCCAUUCUUUACUUCCCAAAUAAGUGCUAUCUGCUUUGACCUCCAUGUCAAUCUUUUUGUUAACAGUAAGAUGAUAGGUAUGGUCAACAAAGAGUGCUGAGUGUUGGCUGGGCACAGUGGCUCACACCUGUAAUCCUAGCACUUAGGGAGGCUAAGGUGGGCGGAUUGCCUAAGCUCAGGAAUUUGACACCAGCCUGGGCAACACAGUGAAACCCUGUCUCUACUAAAAAUACAAAAAAUAUGGCCAGGUAUGGAGGUAUGCACCUAUAGUUUCAGCUACUCAGGAGGCUGAGGCAGGAGAAUUUCUUGAAUCCGAGAGGUGGAGGUUGCAGUGAGCUGAAAUCAUGCCACUGCACUCCAGCCUGGGCGACAGAGUGAGACUCCGUCUCCAAAAAAAAAAAAAAAAAGUACUGAGUGCCACUGUAAGGUUAGAUGAGGCCUCAAAAAAUGCCCACUAGGUUUACCACCAUGGAGGCUGUUACUGACAAUACCUAGAGCCCCUUCAGUGGGGUGGCAGGAAGAGAAGCCAGAUUGGAGAGGGCUGAGGUCAGAGUUGGGAAAGUGGAUGCAACAAGGAUGGAGGACUCGACCAUGAAGCCUGGCUUUGAAGGAGGUGAGAGAAGUAGAAGUGAAGGAGGCUGUGGUGGAAUUUGAUUUUACUUAUUUUAUUGUUUAUAUUUUUCAGAGAUGGGGCCUCACUCUAGUCACCCAAGCUGGAGUGCAGUGGCACCACCUUGGCUCACUACAGCCUCAACUCCCCGGGCUCAAAUGAUCCUCUCAUCUCAGCCUCCUGAGGAGCUGAGAUCAUAUGCAUGCAUCACCAUGCCUAGUAAUUUUUAAUUUUUGGUUGAGGUAUUUCUGUGUUGCCUAGGCCAAUCUCAAACUCCUUGGUUCAAGCUGUCCUCCCACCUUGGCCUCUCAAAGUGCUGGGAUUACAGCCGUGAGCUACCACACCUGGACACGUUUUAUUUUAUUGUACUUAUUUUAUUGUAUUUUUUUCUCAGACAAGGGCUCACUCUGUCGCCCAGGUAGGAAUGCAGUGGUGCCAUCUCAGCUUACUGCAACCUCCACCUCCUGGGUUCAAGCGAUUCUCUGGCCUCAGCCUCCUGAGUAGCUGGGAUUAUAGGCACGUGCCACCACACCUAGCUAAUUUUUGUAUUUUUAGUAGAGAUGGGGUUUCACCAUAGUGGUCAGGCUGGUCUUGAACUCCUGACCUCAGGUGAUCUGCCCACCCCUGGCCUCCCAAAGUGCUAGAAUUACAGCAUGAGUCACUGUGCCCAGCCCAAAUUUUAUUUUUUAAUGGUAGAAAAUGGGGCAUGCUUAAUGGAAAAGAAUCCAGAAUAGGUGGUGGGGGGUGGAGUUCAAUUACCUCAGCAUAGGAGGAAGAUAGAGACGGUAAGAGGCUUACCCAGUUAAGUCUGUUUACUCCAUAUUCCUUUGUCUCUGUUUACUCAUGUAAACUUUGUGCAGGAUGGUCCUCUCAGGGGGAGGUCAAAGGGGAAUUGCCCAUUAAUGGUGUUUAUUCUGGGCUCUGGAACCUAAAGCUUUUAUAAUUUGUAAAAUCAUUCUUUUAACUAUGUUAAUUAUCCACAGGUGUGUUGACUUAGAACCUCUGUUAUGAAAUCUUUACUGAAUAAAUGUGAGGAUGGGA
Non-coding RNA from Callithrix jacchus (white-tufted-ear marmoset), 18221 nucleotides. Lineage: Eukaryota; Metazoa; Chordata; Mammalia; Primates; Cebidae. The record is from RefSeq and is a predicted model, not a curated record.